CUGGUUGAUCCUGCCAGUAGUCAUAUGCUUGUCUCAAAGAUUAAGCCAUGCAUGUCUAAGUUCAAGCAAAAAUAAUGUGAAACCGCGAAUGGCUCAUUAUAUCAGUUAUGGUUCCUUAGAUCGCACUUACUACUUGGAUAACUCUGGCAAUUCUAGAGCUAAUACAUGCAAUAAAGCUCCGCCCUGCGAAGGAACGAGCGCAUUUAUUAGAAUAAAAACCAAUCGGGUUUCGGCCCGUAAUUUGGUGAAUCUGAAUAACUUUGCCAAUCGCACGGUCCUAGUACCGGCGAUAUAUCUUUCAAGUGUCUGCCUUAUCAACUUUCGUUGGUAGGUUAUACGCCUACCAAGGUAGUAACGGGUAACGGAGAAUAAGGGUUCGACUCCGGAGAGGGAGCCUGAGAAACGGCUACCACAUCCAAGGAAGGCAGCAGGCGCGCAAAUUACCCACUUCCAGAACGGAGAGGUAGUGACGAAAAAUAACGAGACAGUCCUCUUCGAGGUCUGUCAUCGGAAUGGGUACAAUUUAAAUCCUUUAACGAGGAUCUAUUGGAGGGCAAGUCUGGU
Molecule: ribosomal RNA, 564 nt
Filed under: uncultured eukaryote
Lineage: Eukaryota
Description: bacterial SSU rRNA
Rfam family: Eukaryotic small subunit ribosomal RNA
Source: RNAcentral